GAUGAAGACGUAGCGAAAUGCGAUAAGUAGUGUGAAUUGCAGAAUUCAGUGAAUCAUCGAAUCUUUGAACGCACAUUGCGCCCUUUGGUAUUCCUUAGGGCAUGCCUGUUCGAGCGUCAUUUAAACCUUCAAGCUAAGCUUGGUGUUGGGUGACUGUCCGCUUCACUGCGGACUCGCCUCAAAAUUAUUGGCGGCCGGUACAUUGGCUUCGAGCGCAGCAGAAACGCGAACUCGGGCCCGUCGUAUUGGCUCCCAGAAGCUAUCUUCACAAUUUUGACCUCGGAUCAGGUAGGGAUACCCGCUGAACUUAAGCAUAUCAAUAAGCGGAGGA
Molecule: unclassified non-coding RNA, 331 nt
Filed under: soil metagenome
Description: partial contains 5.8S ribosomal RNA, internal transcribed spacer 2, and large subunit ribosomal RNA
Rfam family: 5.8S ribosomal RNA (bases 1-119)
Source: RNAcentral